GAUGAACGCUGGCGGCGUGCCUAAUACAUGCAAGUCGAGCGAACAGAUAAGGAGCUUGCUCCUUUGACGUUAGCGGCGGACGGGUGAGUAACACGUGGGUAACCUACCUAUAAGACUGGAAUAACUCCGGGAAACCGGUGCUAAUGCCGGAUAACAUUUAGAACCGCAUGGUUCUAAAGUGAAAGAUGGUUUUGCUAUCACUUAUAGAUGGACCCGCGCCGUAUUAGCUAGUUGGUAAGGUAACGGCUUACCAAGGCAACGAUACGUAGCCGACCUGAGAGGGUGAUCAGCCACACUGGAACUGAGACACGGUCCAGACUCCUACGGGAGGCAGCAGUAGGGAAUCUUCCGCAAUGGGCGAAAGCCUGACGGAGCAACGCCGCGUGAGUGAUGAAGGUCUUCGGAUCGUAAAACUCUGUUAUUAGGGAAGAACAAAUGUGUAAGUAACUGUGCACGUCUUGACGGUACCUAAUCAGAAAGCCCCGGCUAACUACGUG
Molecule: ribosomal RNA, 497 nt
Filed under: uncultured bacterium
Lineage: Bacteria
Description: partial 16S ribosomal RNA
Rfam family: Bacterial small subunit ribosomal RNA
Source: RNAcentral